GCCCGCAGGUGUGUGGUCCGGGGACGAGCCCCAGCUCGCGGUGCGGGGCGGAGCGGUGUGGGUGCCGCGCCUGGCCCGGGUCGAACCCGGCCUGCGGGUGCC
RNAcentral lists this transfer RNA (102 nucleotides) under Streptomyces violaceusniger. RNAcentral's name for it is "tRNA-Arg". Lineage: Bacteria; Bacillati; Actinomycetota; Actinomycetes; Kitasatosporales; Streptomycetaceae. The record is from RNAcentral.